ACUAUCAUUUUAGAAACCACCCUGUAACACUAAAGCCCUGAACCUCAGACCACAUUUGCCCUUGAAUUUUCCUUCUUUAUGAACAGUUUGCUUCUUACUCACGAAAAUAUUUAUAUUGACUUUUUGGUAAAAAUUUGUGUGCAGCGACUGGCGCCAGAAGUGGGAUUUGGAAAAGACUCCGGGUUCCUCAGUUACUACAGUGAGUAACUGAGUGCUGUACGUGUGGAGUCCGUAGUACUCACUGCUUCCUUGCUGAUCCUGGAGUUCCAGGUGAUCUCUCCCAAAUCCAAGCUCCAUUCCCUGUGUGGUGACCUCUGCAACUGACUGAGCAACUUCCUUGCUUUGUUGAGUCCAGUAGAAGACAGCGUCCACUGGCUGAAAAGAUUCCUUGUGCACAAAUUGCUCCAGGAAAUCUUGAUUUGGCUAUGCUCUUGUUUAAUGAGCCUGGAGAAGUCGAUUUGUUAAUCGUGGCGACGCUGUCUGCCUGUGGAGAUACCUUUAGGUGGAACAAAUACCGGUUUGGUUUAGUCGUUGCAGCCGUCUCUCAGAUCGACCUCCUCUGGGACUGCGGGUAAGAAGACCGGAUUAUCGUAGGCGGCACGAUUUAGACCUACUUUCUUUCGGUUUAGAACUUUGGCUUGAAAACUAUCCUCUUUAUGCUUUUAACACAUUAUACUUAUUUUUCAGGUUCAUUUCGGGUUUUUUUUUUUUCUUUUUUGUCUGUUUCCGCUUUGAUUUGAUCAGGGGGGCGGCGGGUUCUAGGUAUCCUCACCACCUUAUCUGUUUCGUUGUGUCCUCUGAUUAGUUAGCGCUCAGCUUCCCCUUGUCCCUGGCCCCGCCCACCAGCCCAGGGGGGCAUAAGUACCCGGGCUGUAGGAGCGCUGUCGGCUUUGCCAGUUUAAUCUGUGCAAAGCUCAAGACCUGAUCUGAGGCCUCCUUGGUGAAACAGCAUUUUCUUGGCUGGGUGAAAAAAAAUCACAUGAAAAAAAGAUAAAAUUAAAAAUUAAAAAAUGAAUAUCACAUGGACUUGUUUAUUUUUUGUCACAUUCAACAAGUCGAUAUACCCUGUGGAAAAGCGACUUCUAAAAAACAAAGUGAGAGAGACAAGAGAAAAACGACUUCUUUGUCCUACCACUUAUGUGAUAUCCAGAUUUAACUUUACAUUUGCCACCUCGCUGAAAAUCGUUGUAUACUAUUGAACUCCGUAUCUUUCUGUUAAAGUCAUUUAAAAAAUCAUAUAAUAUCGUGUAUUUCCUUCAAACAUUCAAGACGUUGGUAUACACUGCAAAAAAACGACUUUUAGCAAAAAAGAAUUAUAAAUAAAAAAUUAAAUUAAAUUAUAAAGGUGAGUGAAAAAAAAAAAAACAAAAACGUCUUUUUCCUAGCCAGUUCUGAGAAAUGAUAAUUAUGUAAUUGCCACGACUCUGGAACCUGUUGUAUAUGUAUGAACUUGGAAAUUUCUGCCAAUAAUGUAAAAAAAAAUCAUAUCAAAAAAACAGAAAAUAAAUGAAACUAUAAAUAAUAAAAAUAAAUAAGUAAAAUAAAUAUUGCAUGAACUUGUUUAUUUUUUCUCACAUUCAACAAGUCGGUAUACACUGUGGAAAAACGACUUUCAGCAAAAAAAGAAUUAUAAAUAAAAAAUUAAAUUAAAGUAUAAAGGAGAGAGAGUGAAAAAAAAACCAAAAACGUCUUUUUCCUAGCCAGUUCUGUGAAAUCAUGAUUAAAUUAUGUGAUUGCCACGUCUCUGGAACCUGUUGUAUAUGUGUGAACUUGGAUAUUUCUGCCAAUAAUGUAAAAAAAAAUCAUAUCAAAAAAACAGAAAAUAAAUGAAAUUAUAAAUAAUAAAAAUAAAUAAGUAAAAUAAAUAUUGAAUGAACUUGUUUAUUUUUUCUCACAUUCAACAAGUCGGUAUACACUGUGGAAAAACGACUUUGUGUAAAAAAAGAAUUAUAAAUAAAAAAUUAAAUUAAAUUAUAAAGGAGAGAGUGUGAAAAAAAAACCAAAAACGUCUUUUUCCUAGCCAGUUCUGUGAAAUCAUGAUUAAAUUAUGUAAUUGCCACGUCUCUGGAACCUGUUGUAUAUGUGUGAACUUGGAAAUUUCUGCCAAUAAUGUCAAAAAAUCAUAUCAAAAAAACAGAAAAUAAAUGAAAUUAUAAAUAAUAAAAAUAAAUAAGUAAAAUAAA
Canis lupus familiaris (dog) is the source of this 2183-nucleotide long non-coding RNA. RefSeq lists it as uncharacterized. The record is from RefSeq and is a predicted model, not a curated record. The transcript has 2 exons. Lineage: Eukaryota; Metazoa; Chordata; Mammalia; Carnivora; Canidae.